RNAcentral lists this ribosomal RNA (117 nucleotides) under Gemmatimonadota bacterium. Lineage: Bacteria; Pseudomonadati; Gemmatimonadota. RNAcentral also lists the same sequence under 1 other name. The record is from RNAcentral.
GCUGGCGAUUAGCGCGCGGGGGCCACACCCGUUCCCAUUCCGAACACGGCCGUUAAGCCCCGCAGCGUCGAUGGUACUGCCACUGAGAGGUGGUGGGAGAGUAGACCAUCGUCAGCC